This 407-nucleotide long non-coding RNA is filed under the name Vigna radiata. Its description in RNAcentral is "long non-coding RNA (VRAD_LNC017919)". Lineage: Eukaryota; Viridiplantae; Streptophyta; Magnoliopsida; Fabales; Fabaceae. The record is from RNAcentral.
GGGUGAAAGGUAAGAGGUAGGAGAUCGCAUUUAGUGUGCAUUUAAUAUCAUUGCUCUCGGAGAACCUUUGGUAGGUACCCUUCCUGACGACGAAGUGAAGAUGAAUAGUGAACGAUUAGUUACCAGACGACAUCAAAGGAGAAAUUGUGAAGGUGUUUGAAGUGACUCGACCCUACAUAUGAGACACUUUCCUUACUCUUCGUUCUCAAAAACCCCACUCUUCUUUAUCGGCUUCUUGAUCACUGUAAGGGAUUUCAAGUUAUGAGGGCAAAGGCAAUUGAGGGUUUUAAAUGUUUUUGUAAGUUAAGGUUGGAUUGAUUGGAUAUUUAGUUAUAUAUUGCAUUAUGAUUGACUAUUUUUUACAUUCUUUUCUCUCUAUUUUUUAUGAAUAUUUUUUAUCACGUCCA